UACGUAGGGCGGCAAGCGUUAUCCGGAAUUAUUGGCGUAAAGAGCUCGUAGGCGGUUUGUCGCUGUCUGCCGCUGAAAGUCCGGGCUCGAACUCCGGAUACUGCGGUGGGUACGGGCAGACUAGAGUGAUGUAGGGGUAGACUGGAAUUCCUGGUGUAGCGGUAGAAAUGCGCAGAUAUCAGGAGGAACACCGAUGGCGAAGGCAGGUCUCUGGGCAUUAACUGACGCUGAGGAGCGAAAGCAUGGGGAGCGAACAGG
This 258-nucleotide ribosomal RNA is filed under the name uncultured bacterium. RNAcentral describes it as "partial 16S ribosomal RNA". It matches the Rfam family "Bacterial small subunit ribosomal RNA", at positions 524 to 776 of the family's 1533-position model. The record is from RNAcentral.